Long non-coding RNA from Argentina anserina (silverweed cinquefoil), 1145 nucleotides. RefSeq lists it as uncharacterized. The transcript has 4 exons. The record is from RefSeq and is a predicted model, not a curated record. Lineage: Eukaryota; Viridiplantae; Streptophyta; Magnoliopsida; Rosales; Rosaceae.
UCCAUUGAUUAUAAUAAAUUAAUCAGAAUCAUUUGAAAUCAGAGUUGAAUACACCCCCCUUGGACUUGGUCUCUCCUUUUGGAGAAAACUAAAGAAAUAGUCAGACACCAUCAUCUUCUCCAUAGUCUUUAUCCUCUAGCUCCCUGUGGCACCACCAACGUCACCAUCACUUUUGCCGUCCGGCGUGAAUCAGCUCGAGUCAACGACACCAUCAUCUUUUUCUUCUUCUCUAUAUCCUUGCAUGUGGCUCGAUCUAUCAGAUUGGAGGUGAAACAAUUCAACCCAAACCGGAGGACCCUCGCCUGAAUCUCCGGUCAAUUUUCAGGUUCUCUCUGGGUGAGCCUUGCCUACUUUGAGUUCGUAGCUACCCUUAGUUUCACAGAUAUUAGAACCUUACCUCACUUUCCUCUUCUCUGUGUCAACACCGCCAUGUUGCGCCGUUGGUGUCUCUUUCAGACGUUUAUUUGGGACCUCGAUAAGCUUUGAAUCCUCUAUUGGUAAGCUUUUGAAUCCUUUCAGAAGUUUAAUUUGUAGAUCGGCUUGAUUUUGAGUUUAUGGAGGUGGAGAGGGUGGAUGCGAUGGUGGCUUAAGUGGCGGAGAAGAGGAUGGUACGAUUUUGGUGAUUGAUAUUGGCCCGUCGAUGCAUAAAGCUCUUCCGGAGAUAGAGAAGCUUUGCUCUGUGUUGCUGGUGAAGAAGCUCUUUUACAGUAAAAGCGAUGAAGUGAGAGUUGUUUUGUUUGGAACAUAAGGCACAAAAAAUGCAUUAACAACGGAUGUGAGUGGAUAUGAUCAUAUAACGGUUCUACAAACAACUCAAAGUCGUCGAUGAGCAUCUUAUGCAGGCUGUAGAGCAACUCCCACGAGGAACUCAUAAUGGUGAUUAUAUCCUUUUAUUCUCGGGUGUUUGUUGUGGCUCUACAUCUGUGCUUAUCCUAGUUGAGCAAAUUGACAUCGCAAAAGCAGACUCGCGUUGCCAUAGAGGAGACCCAACGGUUGGGAAUAUAGUUGCAGGGGAUUUGUGUUCAUUUUUGUAGCUAAUUUGUCCAUAACACCUGUGUAUAGUUGGUAGCUAGUGAAAGUACAAUUGGAAAUACUUGUAUUCAUCUUGGAAUGUCUUGAAAUGUCAUUGAAUGGAUUGAUGCACA